Molecule: small RNA, 130 nt
Filed under: Enterobacter sp. C6
Lineage: Bacteria; Pseudomonadati; Pseudomonadota; Gammaproteobacteria; Enterobacterales; Enterobacteriaceae
Description: partial RtT sRNA
Rfam family: RtT RNA
About the family: This family represents a bacterial cis-regulatory element known as RtT RNA. The exact function of RtT is unknown although it is thought that it may be involved in changing the cellular response in relation to amino acid starvation.
Source: RNAcentral
UCGCAGGUUCGAAUCCUGCACGACCCACCAAUUUUAAUAUCUUACUCAGAUAUUAAACGUGAAGGAUAACGUUGCUUUAGCAACGGCCCGAAGGGCGAGGCGAAGCCGAGUCAUCCUGCACGACCCACCA